AUACGUAGGGUGCAAGCGUUAAUCGGAAUUACUGGGCGUAAAGCGUGCGCAGGCGGUUUUGUAAGACAGAGGUGAAAUCCCCGGGCUCAAACUGGGAACUGCCUUUGUGACUGCAAGGCUAAAGGACGGCAGAGGGGGAUGGAAUUCCGCGUGUAGCAGUGAAAUGCGUAGAUAUGCGGAGGAACACCGAUGACGAAGGCAAUCCCCUGGGCCUGUACUGACGCUCAUGCACGAAAGCGUGGGGAGCAAACAGGAUUAGAUACCCUGGUAGUCCACGCCCUAAACGAUGUCAACUGGUUGUUGGGUCUUCAUUGACUCAGUAACGAAGCUAACGCGUGAAGUUGACCGCCUGGGGAGUACGGCCGCAAGGUUGAAACUCAAAUGAAUUGACGGGG
This 395-nucleotide ribosomal RNA is filed under the name uncultured bacterium. RNAcentral's name for it is "partial 16S ribosomal RNA". It matches the Rfam family "Bacterial small subunit ribosomal RNA", at positions 523 to 918 of the family's 1533-position model. The record is from RNAcentral.